Oryza punctata is the source of this 196-nucleotide non-coding RNA. NCBI's taxonomy places the organism in Eukaryota, Viridiplantae, Streptophyta, Magnoliopsida, Poales, Poaceae. The record is from Rfam.
AUAAAGAGCUGGAGCUUCCUUUUAUGUCCAACAUUUGACCGCUCGUCUUAUCUGAAAAAUUUGUAUGAUUAGUAUUUUUUUAUUAUUUGGAUGAUAAAACAUGAAUAAUACUUUAUGUGUGACUAAUUUUUUAUAAAUUUUUUAAAUAAGACGGACGAUCAAAUAUUGCACACGAAAACCUAUAACUACACUUACA